UGACCUCAAAUCAGGUAGGGACACCCGCUGAACUUAAGCAUAUCAAUAAGCGGAGGAAAAGAAAAUAACAAUGAUUCCCUUAGUAACUGCGAGUGAAGAGGGACAAGCUUAAAUUUUAAAUCUGUCGGGUUUUACCUGAUCGAGUUGUAAUUUGAAGAAGCGUUUUCUGCGUAUUUGGUCAGCCCAAGUCCUAUUGAAUGAGGCAUCUUGGAGGGUGAUAAUUCCGUCCGGUUGAUCAUUGCGUUUUAUGAUACGCUUUCUAAGAGUCAAGUUGUUUGGGAUUGCAGCUUAAAAUGGGAGGUAAAUUUCUCCUAAGGCUAAAUAACGGCGAGAGACCGAUAGCGAACAAGUACCGUGAGGGAAAGAUGAAAAGAACUUUGAAAAGAGAGUUAAACAGUACGUGAAAUUGUUGAAAGGGAAACGAUUGAAGCCAGUCGUACCUAUGGGUAAUCAGCCUUUUGGGUGUGAUUUUGUGGAGCGUGAGGAGUUAAACGCCUUCAUGCCUGCAUAUUCGUGCACUUUGGGUGUACUUGCCCGUGUGUAAGUUAACAUCAAUUUUGGUGGUCAUAAAAUGGCUGGAGGAAUGUAGCUUUGAUCUUGUAUUGAAGUGUUAUAGCCUUCGGUAGAUGUGACGGUCGGGAUUGAGGAUUGCAACGGAUACCCUUCGGGGCUACCUGUCUGAUCUCUGAUUGUUGCUCUGGUGCCGAAAGCUUGCUUACGGUUAUCAUAGUCGAUGUUCAAUAGGUUAGAAUUGGUUAAAUUCGUUAAGGAUGUUGACGUAAUGGCUUUAAACGACCCGUCUUGAAACACGGACCAAGGAGUCUAACAUAUA
This 832-nucleotide ribosomal RNA is filed under the name uncultured Rhizophagus. RNAcentral describes it as "eukaryotic LSU rRNA". It matches the Rfam family "Eukaryotic large subunit ribosomal RNA", at positions 1 to 684 of the family's 3401-position model. Lineage: Eukaryota; Fungi; Glomeromycota; Glomeromycetes; Glomerales; Glomeraceae. The record is from RNAcentral.